AUGCUGAGCCCUACACUCCCUCUGCAGUCCCUGGUCCGACUUGAGAACCUUCCCAUGCCAGGUGAAACAUUUCGCCAAAUCUCAUACUUCACACGUCGGCGAUCCACAAAUACUUUUAUUAGCUUCCUUGUGUGCAAGCCGCCAGAAGCUGUAUGUCAUUUUUCCUCCGUGAAACCAACAUUCAACUCAACCGUAAGAACGACGACAGCAACAAUAAUAAUCAUUUCCAUGAAGUUAACCUGGUUGCACUUGAUCGAUUGUGGGGACUUUCGUCUGGAGCCAAUCUGUGCCACAGAGCCAGUUGAAGCAUUCGUAUGUAGCCACAGAUGCUUAUCUCUCCUCGUAACAUCUCUGAGAGCAACAGCAGACAAGGAUGAGGCUGGUUUGGCUUCUGAGGACGGGGACCGCCUGAGACAAUAAUUCCAUCAG
Molecule: long non-coding RNA, 429 nt
Filed under: Felis catus (domestic cat)
Lineage: Eukaryota; Metazoa; Chordata; Mammalia; Carnivora; Felidae
Description: lncRNA (ENSFCAG00000044749.2)
Source: RNAcentral